UGAAGCGGCAACAGCUCGAAUUUGAAAUCUGGCCUCGGCCCGAGUUGUAAUCUGUAGAGGAUGCUUUUGGCGCGGUGCCUUCCGAGUGCCCUGGAACGGGACGCCACAGAGGGUGAGAGCCCCGUAUGGUCGGACACCAAGCCUGUGUAAAGCUCCUUCGACGAGUCGGGUAGCUUGGGAAUGCUGCUCUAAGUGGGAGGUAAACUUCUUCUAAAGCUAAAUACUGGCCAGAGACCGAUAGCGCACAAGUAGAGUGAUCGAAAGAUGAAAAGCACUUUGAAAAGAGGGUCAAAUAGUACGUGAAAUUGUUGAAAGGGAAGCGCUCAUGACCAGACUUGCGCCGGGCUGAUCAUCCAGUGGUCUCCACUGGUGCACUCUGCCCGGCUCAGGCCAGCGUCGGCUGUCACGGGGGGACAAAAGCACUGGGAAAGUAGCUCUCUCCGGGGAGUGUUAUAGCCCUAUGCAGAAU
RNAcentral lists this ribosomal RNA (469 nucleotides) under Phialemonium inflatum. RNAcentral's name for it is "eukaryotic LSU rRNA". It matches the Rfam family "Eukaryotic large subunit ribosomal RNA", at positions 94 to 574 of the family's 3401-position model. Lineage: Eukaryota; Fungi; Ascomycota; Sordariomycetes; Cephalothecales; Cephalothecaceae. The record is from RNAcentral.